UAGAUCACCGAAGUUAAGCAUCAUUGGGAGCGGUCAGUACUUGGGUGGGUGACCACCUGGGAACACUGCGUGCCGUU
Caerostris darwini is the source of this 77-nucleotide non-coding RNA. The record is from the annotation of a GenBank genome assembly. Lineage: Eukaryota; Metazoa; Arthropoda; Arachnida; Araneae; Araneidae.